AUGAGGCCGCUGAGAUCCUCCAGCCAGAGCCGGGGCGACAAUGCGCUUCGCAGCGACCCUUCCCUCCAGGAGGCAGCAAGGGCUCUUCCUCGGCCUGCAGCGGACAGGGCGGCGGCCCAGGAGCCUCGGGCCCCACCCCAAGGCCGAAGGCGCCAGGCGCUCGGCCGCCCCGUCCUUCGCAUCACUCCCAGGGAUCCUCCCCUUCGCCCGCACGCCGAGGCCGAGGCACCGGCUGCUUCAGCACUUCCGGGUCGGCGGAGAGAGCGCUGCGUGACGUUGCCGGAGCGUUCGGGAGCCUCGCGCCUGUUAUUGUUCCUGCUUCCCUCGCUCUCUCCCCCACCCCCGCCCGCCUUCCCACCGGCCCUCCGUCCGUUCCGCGAGCCGCCUGGAACCGCGCGCUCCUCGGGACGCUCUGAAGGCACCUCCAAAGGCCCGGCCGGGGAAAGAAGGGGAGGCGAGGCGGCCAGCCGCACGCGGAAGGCCGGCGUGGGAGGCUCGCUGAGGGAAGCUGUCAGAAGCCCGAGGGCGGUUGGAAGGAGCUGGAGGAGGGGGGCCCGCUGCCAACGGUUUCGAACCUUCCGUUGCGCGAGCCCUGACAGCGAGGGGCGGGGGAGUGCGCGCCGCGUCACCAAGCAGCAAGCAGCCCUAGCAGGAGGCGCAGGAAGGCGGCGGCGGCGGCGACUGGAAGGACAUGGCCUACGCGUAUCUCUUCAAGUACAUCAUAAUCGGGGACACAGAUUCAGAAGAUCAACAUAAUCAUCCUCAAUGGAGAUAUCCUACCAGUCUUCCAAGAGCAAAGAGCUGUGAUAAUUACCACAUGCAUCUCCCUUUGAGAAGUCACACCCUGCCUCAGUUCUGGGAAUAGAUUGACUGCUGCUCAAGUCAAUUUUCUCACAGCAGUGCUCCUUGGAGGAAUUUUAAGAGGGUCUGUCAUGUCUCUGGUACCCUCCUCUUCCAUCAAGCUGGAAAAUUCCAGAUUUAACCAUGCCUCAAGUACAAUUCCAAACUGCACCAAAGUCAACUCUCCCCUCUCCUUUAAUAACUUGGAGUGUUUACUAGCCUACAUUGCAGGAGAUCCAUUGAAGCAGGUAACAUGUUUCAGUGGCUUUUGGAUGAAUUGUAUAAAGAAGCUGGUUAUAUGUAGGUCAUGGAAUUCUUAUUUAAGGCUUAUGUAUAAAACCAUAUUUAUUAUCUAUUACUGUAUAACAUAGGAUUGGGCUGUGCAUGCAUAUCGGCUUCAUAGCACUUGAUCUUAAAACAGAGAAUGUCUGAAUUCUUGAUAGGAAACUUCUACCUCUGGGGUUGUUGUUUUUUUAUCUUUGAGGUGUAACUCAUGCAAGUUGCCAUUUUAUGUUAUUGUUGACAGAUGAUUCACAUGCGUAUGCAAACCAGCCCUUUCAUGUACAAAUAUAUGAAGCCCAAAAGUUUCCUUGUGAAAGUGGCAUGUGGUAGGUCCUUGCAGGAAUUAAAUACAUUUUUAGCUGGAAAUUUGGUUGUUAUGCACAAACUGUCUGUUCCUGACAAAAAGUUAUAGCUGUUUGGUCCAUUGCUAGCAUAGUUUCUACGCUAGAGCUUGGGCAUUCAUGAUUCCUACAUAUCAUAGUUUCUUAGAUUUGUCAUUGCUUACGUUUACCUGUCUUGGACUGAGAAAGCAGUUCUUUCACUUCUACUGAGGGCUAUUUGAAUCACAGUCCUGGUUUGAAGUUCUCUCAGCAACACCUGAGCUAUGUGCUAUUUAUCUUGUGAACCACCCUGAGAUCGUUGGAUGAAGGCCAUAUAUAAUAAUAAUAAAAUGUUGCAAGAGGUAAAACCACAAAAGUCUUGUGAAAACAAGUGUCCUACCUUGCAUCAUAUUCUGAUGUAAAAUACCUGUUUAACUUACAUUUAAAACUAUCAAGAGUGGCAAGAAAUUGUUUCUUAAGUUUUUCUGGCUAGAAAGAAAUUGAGAAUAAAUAAAAUAUAAGGAAGAAAAGCCUGUAAGAAGAGAGGAUUUGUAAUCUCUUAUUUAGAAUAGUAAUAUGAAGCAGGUAUUUUGACACGGGUGGUGCAGUGAAUGAUGAAAGAGUGCACCUUGUACUUCACUAAUAUUACACAUAAUAGAAGAUGAGUGGUCCACUUAUGAUUCUUUCAUGCCAAAUUUUAAGGUCACCUAUAUAACUAAAAAAAUUAGAGAAAAUAAGAACUUGGGAACAGAUGAAGGAACAAAUGAUAGCACCACCUUUAAAUACAUACAAAUAAAAAGUAUUCUAAGUGGACUGAGACAAAUACAGGAAGCGAGAACCUUAAAACAAUUUGAAAGGUUAACAGGGAAUGGCACAGUUAAAUGGUUUUCAACUUUAUGUCAAGUUAGUUAAUGCAUAAACAUUCAGAGACAAAACUUAAUCAUAUGAUGAAAUGGGAAAGAGAAUUGCAAACAGAAAUUUAGGAGAAAGUAUGGAAAUGCCUAUUUGGAGUAGGAACCAAAUUCAUGUCAGCCAUGAAUUUUAGAGAAAAUUGCAGGAAAAGCGUGGUGCAAUGGCUUUGGAUCCCUUGGAAAAGCAGAAUGAUUUCAUACAUAUGAUGGAAAUGAUAUUGGUUAUAAAAUGACAUAAUUUGUCAUUAGGCUUUGCAAAGAGUCCACUAUUAUGUUUGUUGAAUUACAUCAAUGAUUCAAGAACACCAAAGA
RNAcentral lists this long non-coding RNA (2665 nucleotides) under Podarcis muralis (Common wall lizard). RNAcentral describes it as "lncRNA (ENSPMRG00000007652.1)". The record is from RNAcentral. Lineage: Eukaryota; Metazoa; Chordata; Lepidosauria; Squamata; Lacertidae.